CCUUUCUCUGGACCUCAGGACCUUAACUCCUCUCCUUCCAAGGAGUAACGUGUCACAAACCACAGGGCAGAUAUGAUAAACGUUUGUCUGGUACAGCACCAAACUCGUGUGGGAUGGGGAAGGAGAGCUCAGGAUCCGCUCUCCAGCCCAGGGAGAGCUCCGUGUGUCCCUCCUGUGCUGCCACCAGCCGGUGCCACCAGCUGCACCAGCUCUGCCCUGCCUGGCCUCUGCUGAGCCAUAGCGAUUCCUUCUGUGCGAGGAAGAGCUGAGCUGUGAACACCCCCGGCAUUACUUUGAAAUCAGUCCCCAAACUGCUCUCAGCCAGCUCCACACAGAGUGGGAUUAUCUCUCCAGGUGCCGGGUCCUACAGGGCUGUGAGCAGAGCCGUGGGGCUGUGCUCCACUGACCCACGGGAUGGGGCAGCUCUGGAACAGGGCAGGACACAACCCGGCAGCCUUUCUGCUUUGGGAACACUUAAACCUGCUGAACCGCUGCUGUGCUGAGCCCAACAGAGCGAUGCUGCUUAACUGGAGCUUUUCAUGUGCCGUGGAGCUGGUGCGUGUCAGGAGGAGCCGGAGGAUGCUUAGGAC
Long non-coding RNA from Catharus ustulatus (Swainson's thrush), 590 nucleotides. RefSeq lists it as uncharacterized. The transcript has 3 exons. The record is from RefSeq and is a predicted model, not a curated record. Lineage: Eukaryota; Metazoa; Chordata; Aves; Passeriformes; Turdidae.